UGUAUCUUUCUAUCAUAUAUGAGGAUGUAGUAACAGUAGAUAUCCAGAAGUUGGGUGAGAUUAUCUUGGAGGAAACUUUCAGCUCUAUGAUUCUACGACAGAGAUGGAUAAUAAUUUGCUAGAGAACAGGAGGACUACUGCAGCCCACUCAAUUUAUGCUCCCCAUUAUCCAGCAUUUUGAUUUUUCAACAAUAAUUAUUGGGGGUUGGCCAUGAACUGCCCUGCGCUAUGUCAUUUAUUGACCCCCCCCCCCCAAAAUGUGGGUGUGCAUGAUCGACUGGUGUUUUUUCAUUAUUUCACCUUGGGGAAUUUAAAAAGAAUGAAAUCAGUGUGGAUUAUAGCUGUCUAGAAAAGUAAGAAGUUACAAUUAAAGUUCACAGUUGUUGCUGUUAAAGAGGAUCCUUGAAAAUAAUGUUUAGUGUUUAACCACCAUCUGAAUCUACUUUAUAGGGGGAAAUAUCAGUUCCAAUAAUAUACCAUCAGAGAUAUGAAGAUAUGCUCACUUUCUUCAUUUGUAGAAUUAUCUUAUUUUCCUCAAAAUAACCUGUAACAGGUUCUAGGAAAAAUAUAAGAUGCCUUUCAAAAACUGAUACCCAUAUUGCAGCAAAAGCAGACUGGGGUGCUGUAUGCUGCCCGUAAGUAGCACCUUUUUCACCCAAGACAUGUGCUGUCUCAUCUAUUGAUUAACCCCAUUUAAUUCUAUCCACUUAUUCCUGUCUUUCAUUCAAAUUAUCUAAGAAAAUAAGCAUGUAGAAAGUUGAGGAUGUGUGUCGCUUAGCUACGUCUCCAUGGCUACAUCUCCCAAUGCUGGCCUCUCAAAAAUACACCUUGUUAACAUCUCAGCUCACCCACAACAGGCAUCUGCAGAGACCUCUGGCAGUUCUGCAAGCUCUCUGCAGAUGGCAUCUUUGUAGUACAUCCAGCUACAGGAAAAUAGCCAGAUGCAUCCACACUAAUCCCACUCACUUCUCCCUCCUAAUAUGGGUUUCUCUGCUGUGCUGUUUGCAAGGUUAUGGGUUACAACUUUCACGACCACUGACUAUACUGAUUGGAGCUACUAAAAAGAUAGGAUGGAAAGAUGGCUUGUUUCAAUAAGGAAUUCACUACUCUUCAAAAUCUACUCAGCCCAUCCCCUUCUGGAUGUUUUAAAGAAGAACUGAGGUCCAGUAUGCAUGCAGUGAUCCUCACCUCUACAAAUAUCAUAUUCACACCUUCAGGUUGUAAAAACUGAGGCAUUUACAAUGAAAUAGGAAGAACAAAAGGCAAUGUGACAUUUGCUGAACUUGUAUCAACCACAGGAUUUUGUCAACAAAGUUCUUUACAGCAGAAAGUGGGCUGAGUAUAAAAGUCACUUAACCAUUCAAGAUAGUUAAACUGCAUGACACUGUGAUGAUACAAUGGUGGCAGAGAAGUAUGUUUUCUUUGCUGCCAACUUCACUAUGGCAUAAAGUUUUCAAUGGGUUCUAGCCCAUGUUUGGUUGGACCAGCUUCCAGUUUGCCACUACGGAUUCUGUUGUCUCAGUUCUACUUAUUUCAGCACUGUGUACAGAACAGGGUGAGAUUAAGCCAUGCAGCUUCAUCCGGGUAGAUCUCUGUAAUACCAGGAUGGUUGGCAUGCCAUGCCAAAAGCACAGCCCAAAUUCUUCUUAACUGUCUUUCAGAACUCCAAUUUUGAAUGUCUUUAUAUGUGAAAAGAAAAAUAGUAAAAUUAUUUCUUCUUGCCUUUGAGAAGGAAAUUUCCAAGAGAUUUACAUCCCUAGACAUGUCACUGACAGUAUAAAGCGCAAACACCCGCCACACAGCCAUUGUUUGUUGUAGAUCUGUCUGUAAGUUUAAAUAAAUGUAGCCCUUGUCUAACCCAUUUACCUGUGCUUUGCUUCCAUUCUGUGGCUUUCAAAGACGGUUUAAUUUGAAUGUAUUUCUCUUCUUGUUAACUGUAUUUUAUAAGAUCCAGUUUCCAUUUUAUAGCAGCCGGAAUUAUAUAAACUCACUGCUUUUGGUGA
Anolis carolinensis (green anole) is the source of this 2003-nucleotide long non-coding RNA. RefSeq lists it as uncharacterized. The transcript is spliced from 3 exons. The record is from RefSeq and is a predicted model, not a curated record. NCBI's taxonomy places the organism in Eukaryota, Metazoa, Chordata, Lepidosauria, Squamata, Anolidae.